CUUAAUACAAGUUUCUGUUUGGGUCACUUCUUUCUGAAUUUGAAUGAAUUAUUUUUCCUGUUGGUUUGUUGUACCUUCUCCCAAACACACACAUCGUCAGGCAAAGAUCCUCUGAGAUGACUGCCAAAAUGAAUGAGUCAGGUAAUGUCAUGAAAAUGUUCAGCUUAUAAUGGGAGCCAUCAGAAGAUCACAGCAGGAAUGGAAGAACACAGCAAGAAUGGCUGUGAACCCACUCAAAGGGGUUCUCAUGCUCUUCCCAAGCAGUUUCAGUCACCGGAACCACACUCAACCCUCCACGUCUCUCUUCUUAUUUAUGAUGACUCAAAAUUACCAAAGAGGGAGUCCUUCCUUAAACUCAGAUAAAAAUGUGUCUCCCUGUGUUUUUUACAAGACUUUCCUGUCCUCAUGCUGUCCUCUGAAGCUCUGCAAAACAAGUCUUGUACUAUUUCCUGCAGCCAGCUCUUCAGAUAAAUAAAGAUAAGAAACUUGUAGUUGCAUCUUACCUCCCAACUCAGUCUUCACUUCUUCCAAUGAAAAAUUUCUAAAGCCUCCUAUGAGUUCCGAUAUCCAUAGUGAUUAUUGCAUCUGUUAGUUUUGAUAGUGAAAACUGUGGGUAGAAAUGCUGAGUCAUGGGUUACCAGGACAACCAAGACUGCUGGGACAUAUGGCCAACUUGUUUAUCAGCAGUAGCGUGCUGGAAAAUCUUAACAACUACCUUUCUGGAGGAAACAAAAAGACUGACUUCUACAGCUUCCAAUUUCUGUGGUGUAAAUACUCUAAUCAUGGAUGAUUUCGAGUUACUGAUAUGAGGUCUCUUAACAUGGAAUUGGUAAGAGGUGUGCACAAUCAGCUCUUGUGAGCUGGUAGGAGCUGACUUUAGCACUACACUGAAUUACAAGUCACAUCUUAGAAUUUGCUCAAUGUCCUAGUUGUUCUCUGAAUGUCCCUUUUAAAAUGUAAUGCCUUUUAAUUCAUAAUUAUCGAGGUGUUGUUUGACCAGCCAUGAAUCAGUCCAGAGUCCACUCAAAAUUCCACUUCAAAGGUUCGAUUACACUCAAAAUUUAACUUCAAAGCUACUAUGAGUGGGUAAAAUAUACAACGUCACAUAUAAAGUAUACAAAGUCACAUAUAAAGCCUAUAGCUUCUAAUAUUUGGGUCAGAAAAAAAAUGGUCUUUGAUGUCAGUGCUGGAAAUAAAAUUGGGCAAAGUCCAUAUGUCAGUGUACAUUCUCAUUAUAUUAUAUACACCCUAAGCAGUUACUAUAAACCACUGAGCCAUAAUUAAAGUUUUUGUUUAAUGGGAGGAAAAAGAAAGUGAAUUUAAACUGCUGUCUUGUUCAAAGUGAUACUGCAAAAGUGAUCUGUCUUAAAGUUUAAGAAUAUUUUCAUAUAAUUCAGUAAGCAUUUAAGUCCUUAUUAUGAAUUAAGGAAACUCUAUAAAUUCUCAACUUAAAACUCUACUAAUGAAUAAACUUAUUUUUAUGUUUUAGCAUUUUCCACUCUUGGUUGGCUCCUAAUUUCUGAAAAGCCAUGAAUAUAUUUGUUUUUGUUCUGCGGUGAAUCUAUUCUACAGUAGUUACUUGUUGAGUCACAUUUCCCCAAGGGUGCAAUUUACACCCUGACUCUAUUCAUGCUGAAUGAAACUGAUUGAGACAAACUGUGUUAGCACUGAAUAGGAGCUAGCAGGAAAAAUGAAAAUGCUUCAUCAUGGGAUCUAAGAUGUGAGGAAAUAGGAGAUAGAGCUGGAGUGGUGAGCAGCAUCUGGAAGAUAACAUUAAAGAAUUUGGAUAAUUCUAGGGGAGCAUUAAAGAGAUCAGGAGACUAACACAAUCUGAUUAGCAUAAAAAUAAAGUGCGUAAGAUUCAUAUUUAAGAUUAUGGCUCUGGUGGUGAGAAUAGAUUGGCCAGACAAGAGAUAGGGAAGUCAGGAAGGAGGAUAUUGUAUCAUCUAGGGGAGCAAAGCAAAGGGAAUGGAUCCAAGGGAUACGUGGAAGUCAGGAUCCACAAAAAUUAGAAGUCUAUUAGGGAGCAAAGGGAGAAGUGAAAGGAGAUGAAAUGGCAGAGUAGAGGGCUGGGAAAGAGUCAGGGAUGAUUCCAAGGAAUGAACAGGCACAGGUGCAAUUGAGUCUACAGGUUGGUAGGCAAGAAGUUUGUGAUAUUAUUUUCCUGUUAAAUAGAGGGGGUUAGGGUAAAGGAGAUAGAAAUAGGGAUUUAAAGAGAAAUGGAAAAUAUUUGAAAUUGUCUCCAUAGGAAAGUUGAAAAUAUGCUAUAUGGGGCUACAUUGAAGGCUUGUUCUUAGUAACAUUUCCUCCAGAAUCUAUUAGAAUAUGCAUAAUUUGAAAAAGUGUUCUUGGCGCUCCCGAGAGAUCCCCCUCAACUUCCCAUCAUGACCUGCUCCUCUAAUUUCUACUGAAACUCACCCAAUAAAACAAACACUUCUUGAUUUAAGAAUUUUAAUAAGGUAACUCAUUCCAUUCUUGGUUUCCAGUUAGACCACUAAAUAACCUUUGUGACAAAAACAGUGAAAUUCCCACAAAAUAUCUGUUCCAAAAAUAUUUACUAAAGACUUCCCAGAAUAAAUCCCUGACAUCGGCGAGGAGAUGGGAGCCCACAGGCAGUGUAAUCGACGCGUCCUUUAUGUGGAACUCCGUAAUUCAGUCAAGAAACACCCACCCUGCUCCAGUGAGGUCAUGUCUCAUUUGGGAUUGGAUGGCUAACUUUGUAUCUGUGAUUGCGUUAACAAAAAUGCACAUAAAAUGUCCAGGAAUUUUUUCCUUUGUUUUAUUCAGAAAUCAAACUUGCCCACGUCAUGUCUGCAAAAUGAGCGUUUCACCAUGUCAGAGGUUUCUUUGAUUGUAAUAGGGUUUAAAAGAGAAUAGAGAACAUAUACUGUGUUAGGGCAUGUUACCUUUUGGUUGGCUACUUCAUGUAUCUUUCUGUGCCUCUGGCGUAUCGUAUUUUCAAUGUAUAUUUGUUUAUAAUCUUAAAAAAUACAAUUUGUAUCUGAAAACCCUGACCAAGUUACUAGCUGUAAGCUUCUCUAUAAGGAGAAGCCAUUGAGAAUGCUGAGGUGAAAUUACCUAAUACUAAAUCAUGUUAGUUCUGAGAGGCUUGAUUUUUAGUACAGUAGAAGGUUGCUAUCACCUGAAUUAUGAAGACAGUUCCUUAAUUCUCUGUGUCACUCAAUGCAUCUAUUUUCUUUCAGCAUUGCUUAUCCAGUGCCUAAUAACAUCUGAAAAAAAUAUCGAGUUACCAGCAAUUUCCAGAUCUUGGCUCUGAGUGCUAUGCUGUCAUAUCAAAGCCAACAAGGAAAGUGAGGAUCCCAUGGCAAAGACUGGAAACAACUUGAAAACAGUCCAGCUGGCUUUAUGAUAUGAAUCUUGAGAUCAACCUUUCACACAGGAUGGGACAUAAGGUGAAGUCUACCCAGUCAGUUUCAGAAAGUCUGCGUGGAUGAGCAUUGCUUCCAGGGCUCACAUAAUUGCACCUAAAAUCACAGAAUGUUAGAGCUGGCGGGAUCUUUAGAGUUUGCCCAAGAUCCUUCACCGGCAUUUUACAGGUGAGGAACCUGGAGCCCAGAAUGAUUAAGGAACUUUCUGGAGGUCGUAGCGUUAGUGCCUGGCAGACUGCAAGCUGGAUGCCUGAAUCCCAGAGCAGAGCGCAUUCCACCACACCUUGUCAUUUUCCAGUGUGGGCAAGGGAAGCGUCCUGGACAGGGCACUGUUUCCUACAAUUAGAUCUCGGCCCCAGGGCCGUGUAUAGCUGGAGAACCUGAAGCGUUUCUAUUCGCAAAGUCCGCUGGUAUUUGUGUUCAUUACUUUAAUGAGAAGAUAUUUUUAGCUCUUCUCCUCCCAUGAGCAUUCUUCCAGCUUACUUUCAGAGCUGCCAGGUUCAAGCUUAUGGGCCAGAAUAACUUUGGUUAUUAUUAUUAUUUUUUAAUCUAAGAAAAUCAUUUCGUGAAUCCUCUAUCAAAUGCGUUUGAUGCAUACAGCAUUGAACUAAGCAGUUUGUGGAUGUGGGUGUGAACAAAAUGGAACCCCUCUUUCUAAGUAGCUUGCAGCCCAUUUUAGAAUGAAGAGUGGUGGGCUUCAUCAAGGAAGGUGGUGGCAGGGAUAUGUGGGACUCGGAAAUAAAAAGGAUUGGUUCUGACUCUUGACAAGUGAAAGAUUCUUCACUUGUCAAGAAUCAGACAGAUUUAGGUUCAAGGUGUUGCCUACCC
Microcebus murinus (gray mouse lemur) is the source of this 4217-nucleotide non-coding RNA. The record is from RefSeq and is a predicted model, not a curated record. Lineage: Eukaryota; Metazoa; Chordata; Mammalia; Primates; Cheirogaleidae.